GAUGAACGCUGGCGGCGUGCCUAACACAUGCAAGUCGAACGAACAGACGAGGAGCUUGCUCCUUUGACGUUAGCGGCGGGCGGGUGAGUAACACGUGGAUAACCCACCUAUAAUUCUGGGAUAAUUUCGGGAAACCGGAGCAUAUACCGGAUAAUAUACUGAACCGCAUGGUGCAAUAGUGAAAGACGGCUUUGCUGUCUGUUAUAGAUGGUUCCGCGCCGGAUUAGCUAGUUGGUAGGGUAACGGCCUACCAAGGCGACGAUGCGUGGCCGAACUGAGAGGGUGAUCGGCCACACUGGAACUGAGACGCGAUCCAGACUCCUACGGGAGGCAGCAGUAGGGAAUGUUGGGCAAUGGGCGAAAGCCUGACGCAGCGGCGCCGCGUGAGUGAUAAAGGCCUUCGGAUCGUAAAGCUCUGUUAUGGGGGAUGAACAGAUGUGGAAUUAACCGUGGCCGGCUUGACGAUACCGAAUCAAAAAGCCACGGCUAACUACGUG
This 497-nucleotide ribosomal RNA is filed under the name uncultured bacterium. RNAcentral describes it as "partial 16S ribosomal RNA". It matches the Rfam family "Bacterial small subunit ribosomal RNA", at positions 28 to 507 of the family's 1533-position model. The record is from RNAcentral.